RNAcentral lists this long non-coding RNA (681 nucleotides) under Oryza sativa Indica Group (long-grained rice). RNAcentral's name for it is "lncRNA OsIR64_01g0019680". The record is from RNAcentral. Lineage: Eukaryota; Viridiplantae; Streptophyta; Magnoliopsida; Poales; Poaceae.
AUGGAAAGAGUUGUUUCCACAUCGGAAAUUUCAGUUAAUAGUCUUCCAGUUGACCUUUCGCAUCGCUCACAAAAGAAAAGGGCCAGAGUUUGGGAGCAUAUUGAUUCAGAAUCUAUUGAUGGAAAAGAAAAGGCAGUCUGCAAAUAUUGCAAGCUAAAAUUAUCUUCUGAACCUGGCCAGGGAACAAAUCAUCUCAAUAGGCAUAUUGGAAUGUAUUGCCCAAGCAUUCCAAGUGGAGAGAGGGAUAGAUUCUUACUGCACUGGAAGCGCCCUUCUUCUGAUAGUGAUCAACCCAUAUUUGACCCUCAUGUUUGCCGUCUUCUAAUUGCCAAGUUCUUUGUUAGUGCUGAAAUUCCAUUUCGGAAAGCCGAUGAUCCAAAUUGGAAAAAAUUGCUAAACUACAUUCACCCAUCUUUUCUUGUGCAAAGAAUGGGCCUGAAAACUAAGUCUGGACUGGUAGUUGAUGUCCCACACCGUUGGAAUGCUACUUAUGAUAUGAUACAUGAUUCAUUGGCGUACAAAGCUGCUAUCAAUAUAUAUGCCACUGAACAACACCAUGAAGCUCCAAGUGAUUCAGAUUGGGGUAAAGCUGAGUCUCUCCAUGGAUUUUUGCAAGCCUUCAGUGAUGCUACCAAGACAUUUUCAGCAGAUAGACAUCCAACAUCCCAUCUCUUUUUGAAG